UACGUAGGGGCUAGCGUUAUCCGGAAUUACUGGGCGUAAAGGGUGCGUAGGUGGUUUCUUAAGUCAGAGGUGAAAGGCUACGGCUCAACCGCAGUAAGCCUUUGAAACUGGGAAACUUGAGUGCAGGAGAGGAGAGUGGAAUUCCUAGUGUAGCGGUGAAAUGCGUAGAUAUUAGGAGGAACACCAGUUGCGAAGGCGGCUCUCUGGACUGUAACUGACACUGAGGCACGAAAGCGUGGGGAGCAAACAGGAUUAGAUACCCAGGUAGUCCCUGA
RNAcentral lists this ribosomal RNA (275 nucleotides) under uncultured prokaryote. RNAcentral's name for it is "partial 16S ribosomal RNA". It matches the Rfam family "Bacterial small subunit ribosomal RNA", at positions 524 to 800 of the family's 1533-position model. The record is from RNAcentral.